UGGGGAAUAUUGCGCAAUGGGCGAAAGCCUGACGCAGCGACGCCGCGUGAGGGAUGAAGGUUUUCGGAUCGUAAACCUCUGUCAGAAGGGAAGAAACCGCACUGUGCUAAUCAGCAGUGCCUUGACGGUACCUUCAAAGGAAGCACCGGCUAACUCCGUGCCAGCAGCCGCGGUAAUACGGAGGGUGCAAGCGUUAAUCGGAAUUACUGGGCGUAAAGCGCACGUAGGCUGCUUUGUAAGUCAGGGGUGAAAUCCCAUGGCUCAACCGUGGAACUGCCUUUGAUACUGCUUAGCUUGAAUCCGGGAGAGGGUGGCGGAAUUCCAGGUGUAGGAGUGAAAUCCGUAGAUAUCUGGAGGAACAUCAGUGGCGAAGGCGGCCACCUGGACCGGUAUUGACGCUGAGGUGCGAAAGCGUGGGGAGCAAACAGG
RNAcentral lists this ribosomal RNA (429 nucleotides) under Fusobacteriota bacterium. Its description in RNAcentral is "Fusobacteria bacterium partial 16S ribosomal RNA". It matches the Rfam family "Bacterial small subunit ribosomal RNA", at positions 355 to 776 of the family's 1533-position model. Lineage: Bacteria; Fusobacteriati; Fusobacteriota. The record is from RNAcentral.